UACGGAGGGCGCGAGCGUUGUCCGGAAUCACUGGGCGUAAAGGGCGCGUAGGCGGCUCGAUAAGGCUUGCGUGAAAGUCCGGGGCUCAACCCCGGAUCGGCGCGGGCGACUGUUGGGCUGGAGCACGGUAGGGGCAGACGGAAUUCCGGGUGUAGCGGUGGAAUGCGUAGAGAUCUGCAAGAACACCCGUGGCGAAGGCGGCCAGCUGGGCCGGGUCCGACGCUGAGGCGCGAAAGCGUGGGGAGCAAACAGG
This 253-nucleotide ribosomal RNA is filed under the name uncultured bacterium. RNAcentral describes it as "partial 16S ribosomal RNA". It matches the Rfam family "Bacterial small subunit ribosomal RNA", at positions 524 to 776 of the family's 1533-position model. The record is from RNAcentral.